GAGUUUGAUCCUGGCUCAGAACGAACGCUGGCGGCGUGCUUAACACAUGCAAGUCAGGGAGAAAGUCUCUUCGGGGAUGAUUAAACCGGCGCACGGGUGAGUAACACGUGAGUGACCUGCCUUUUAGACUGGAACAACUUACCGAAAGGUGAGCUAAUGCCGGAUGAGUUAUAUAAGUGCAUGUUUAUAUAGGAAAAGUUGGGGAGACCUGACGCUGAAAGAUGGACUCGCGUCCCAUUAGCUAGUUGGUAGGGUAAUGACCUACCAAGGCGACGAUGGGUAGCCGGCCUGAGAGGGUGGCCGGCCACACUGGGACUGAGACACGGCCCAGACUCCUACGGGAGGCAGCAGUGGGGAAUUUUGCGCAAUGCUCGUAAGAGUGACGCAGCGACGCCGCGUGAAUGACGAAGGCCUUCGGGUCGUAAAGUUCUUUCGACAGGGAAGAAAAUGCCUAUAAGUAACUGUGUAUGUAUUGACGGUACCUGUAUAAGCAGCCCCGGCUAACUCCGUGCCAGCAACCGCGGUAAUACGGAGGGGGCGAGCGUUGUUCGGAGUGACUGGGCGUAAAGAGCACGUAGGCGGUGUUGUAAGUCAUUAGUCAAAGACUAGAGCUCAACUUUAGUAAGGCUAGCGAUACUAUA
This 641-nucleotide ribosomal RNA is filed under the name uncultured bacterium. RNAcentral describes it as "bacterial SSU rRNA". It matches the Rfam family "Bacterial small subunit ribosomal RNA", at positions 9 to 637 of the family's 1533-position model. The record is from RNAcentral.